Molecule: long non-coding RNA, 292 nt
Organism: Cavia porcellus (domestic guinea pig)
Lineage: Eukaryota; Metazoa; Chordata; Mammalia; Rodentia; Caviidae
Exons: 2
Source: RefSeq, a predicted model, not a curated record
GGGUCCACCCCACCUGCGGGUACUGAAGGACUGAGUUGCAUGAGCAACAGAAGGAUCAAGGCCUGGGAGGACAACAGGGUGCUUCCAGCAGCACAGCCUGGCUCAUACUUACCGGGGCUGGGUGUGGCCAGCUGGCCUAGUCCUCUGCAAGAGAGGUGAGCCCCUUGGCCUGGGGACACCUCUGAGCCCAAGGUGGUCCUGAGGUCUGGGUCCUGUGUCCGUCCAAGGGAAGCAAUAAUGGAGGGGUCUGCUGUUUGUAUCUUUGGGUAAUGAAGGGGCCACUUGGAAAAUC